AUUGAACGCUGGCGGCAGGCCUAACACAUGCAAGUCGAGCGGAUGAAGGGAGCUUGCUCCUGGAUUCAGCGGCGGACGGGUGAGUAAUGCCUAGGAAUCUGCCUGGUAGUGGGGGAUAACGUCCGGAAACGGGCGCUAAUACCGCAUACGUCCUGAGGGAGAAAGUGGGGGAUCUUCGGACCUCACGCUAUCAGAUGAGCCUAGGUCGGAUUAGCUAGUUGGUGGGGUAAAGGCCUGCCAAGGCGACGAUCCGUAACUGGUCUGAGAGGAUGAUCAGUCACACUGGAACUGAGACACGGUCCAGACUCCUACGGGAGGCAGCAGUGGGGAAUAUUGGACAAUGGGCGAAAGCCUGAUCCAGCCAUGCCGCGUGUGUGAAGAAGGUCUUCGGAUUGUAAAGCACUUUAAGUUGGGAGGAGGGGCAGUAAGUUAAUACCUUGCUGUUUUGACGUUACCAACAGAAUAAGCACCGGCUAACUUCGUG
Molecule: ribosomal RNA, 484 nt
Filed under: uncultured bacterium
Lineage: Bacteria
Description: partial 16S ribosomal RNA
Rfam family: Bacterial small subunit ribosomal RNA
Source: RNAcentral